Molecule: ribosomal RNA, 448 nt
Filed under: uncultured bacterium
Lineage: Bacteria
Description: bacterial SSU rRNA
Rfam family: Bacterial small subunit ribosomal RNA
Source: RNAcentral
GAACCAGACUCCUACGGGAGGCAGCAGUGGGGAAUAUUGCACAAUGGGGGAAACCCUGAUGCAGCGACGCCGCGUGAGCGAUGAAGUAUUUCGGUAUGUAAAGCUCUAUCAGCAGGGAAGAAGAUGACGGUACCUGACUAAGAAGCCCCGGCUAACUACGUGCCAGCAGCCGCGGGAAUACGUAGGGGGCAAGCGUUAUCCGGAUUUACUGGGUGUAAAGGGAGCGUAGACGGCGAUGCAAGCCAGAUGUGAAAGCCCGGGGCUCAACCCCGGGACUGCAUUUGGAACUGCGUGGCUGGAGUGUCGGAGAGGCAGGCGGAAUUCCUAGUGUAGCGGUGAAAUGCGUAGAUAUUAGGAGGAACACCAGUGGCGAAGGCGGCCUGCUGGACGAUGACUGACGUUGAGGCUCGAAAGCGUGGGGAGCAAACAGGAUUAGAUACCCCGGUAU